Molecule: transfer RNA, 72 nt
Filed under: Camelus bactrianus (Bactrian camel)
Lineage: Eukaryota; Metazoa; Chordata; Mammalia; Artiodactyla; Camelidae
Also listed under: 2 other names
Rfam family: tRNA
About the family: Transfer RNA (tRNA) molecules are approximately 80 nucleotides in length.
Source: Rfam by way of RNAcentral
GAGGGUAUAGCUCAGUUGUAGAGUGCAUGCCUAGCAUGCACAAGGUCCUAGGUUUAAUCCCCAGUACCUCCA